Molecule: ribosomal RNA, 671 nt
Filed under: Lactiplantibacillus plantarum
Lineage: Bacteria; Bacillati; Bacillota; Bacilli; Lactobacillales; Lactobacillaceae
Description: bacterial SSU rRNA
Rfam family: Bacterial small subunit ribosomal RNA
Source: RNAcentral
GGGUUUCGGNUCGUAAANUCUGUNUAAAGAAGAACAUAUCUGAGAGUAACUGUUCAGGUAUGACGGUAUUUAACCAGAAANCACGGCUAACUACGUGCCAGCAGCCGCGGUAAUACGUAGGUGGCAAGCGUUGUCCGGAUUUAUUGGGCGUAAAGCGAGCGCAGGCGGUUUUUUAAGUCUGAUGUGAAAGCCUUUCGGCUCAACCGAAGAAGUGCAUCGGAAACUGGGAAACUUGAGUGCAGAAGAGGACAGUGGAACUCCAUGUGUAGCGGUGAAAUGCGUAGAUAUAUGGAAGAACACCAGUGGCGAAGGCGGCUGUCUGGUCUGUAACUGACGCUGAGGCUCGAAAGUAUGGGUAGCAAACAGGAUUAGAUACCCUGGUAGUCCAUACCGUAAACGAUGAAUGCUAAGUGUUGGAGGGUUUCCGCCCUUCAGUGCUGCAGCUAACGCAUUAAGCAUUCCGCCUGGGGAGUACGGCCGCAAGGCUGAAACUCAAAGGAAUUGACGGGGGCCCGCACAAGCGGUGGAGCAUGUGGUUUAAUUCGAAGCUACGCGAAGAACCUUACCAGGUCUUGACAUACUAUGCAAAUCUAAGAGAUUAGACGUUCCCUUCGGGGACAUGGAUACAGGUGGUGCAUGGUUGUCGUCAGCUCGUGUCGUGAGAUGUUGGG